UUAGUUGGAUUAUUUUCAUGGAAAAGUCAUAAAAGGAUAUACAAUUGUUCAAUCUUUUCGGUCCCCUUGCUUUCAAAUCACACAACGUCAUUAGUUCUUAACAUUGGAGCUCGAUUGUUCCAAGGUUGCGUUUGCGGCUCCGGUUUCAAUUUGUGGCUGUUUGUUCGAUUGGAUCUUUGAAUUCUAAGCUCUGUACCAACUGAUUUCUCAUGCAAUGAAAGCAAUUUCAAGAUCCUUGAGGUCUAUGGUGGCAAGGAUUCCAACAGUGAUCAUUCUUUAGUAAGCUUUUCAUUGUUUAAGUUGCGAAUUCAUUAGAGAACUGUCUAACUUCUUAAUUUAUUGAGUUUCUUGGUUUAGUGUUUGUUGUG
Molecule: long non-coding RNA, 368 nt
Filed under: Nicotiana benthamiana
Lineage: Eukaryota; Viridiplantae; Streptophyta; Magnoliopsida; Solanales; Solanaceae
Description: long non-coding RNA (NBEN_LNC038463)
Source: RNAcentral